RNAcentral lists this transfer RNA (74 nucleotides) under Propionibacteriales bacterium. Its description in RNAcentral is "tRNA-Val". It matches the Rfam family "tRNA". From Rfam's summary of the family: Transfer RNA (tRNA) molecules are approximately 80 nucleotides in length. Their secondary structure includes four short double-helical elements and three loops (D, anti-codon, and T loops). Further hydrogen bonds mediate the characteristic L-shaped molecular structure. tRNAs have two regions of fundamental functional importance: the anti-codon, which is responsible for specific mRNA codon recognition, and the 3' end, to which the tRNAs corresponding amino acid is attached (by aminoacyl-tRNA synthetases). tRNAs cope with the degeneracy of the genetic code in two manners: having more than one tRNA (with a specific anti-codon) for a particular amino acid; and 'wobble' base-pairing, i.e. permitting non-standard base-pairing at the 3rd anti-codon position. RNAcentral also lists the same sequence under 1 other name. Lineage: Bacteria; Bacillati; Actinomycetota; Actinomycetes; Propionibacteriales. The record is from RNAcentral.
GGGCGUAUGGCUCAGUUGGUUAGAGCGCACGCUUCACACGCGUGAGGUCACAGGUUCGAGUCCUGUUACGCCCA